This is a long non-coding RNA of Cucumis sativus (cucumber), 1119 nucleotides long. RefSeq lists it as uncharacterized. The record is from RefSeq and is a predicted model, not a curated record. NCBI's taxonomy places the organism in Eukaryota, Viridiplantae, Streptophyta, Magnoliopsida, Cucurbitales, Cucurbitaceae. The transcript has 2 exons.
CAUCUAUGGUUUUUCUCGAGGUUCUCAAAUUUCCACGUAAGUUUUGGUUUCGUCUUUAUUGUUUUCCAUAUAGUAUCAGAGCAAAGCGACAACGAAACCCUAGAAAAAAAUUUAGGAGGAACCCACACCAAACCAGUCACUGCCACCGUGGACGUCGUCAUGGCAAAAUUAGUCCAAAUGCUUCAGAAACUUCCGAUCUACACAGUGGGACAACCCUCGCCGCCAUCCGCGCAACCCUUCGGCUAGAAUCUCUCUCAUGCGCCACCUCUGUCUGGCAUGUGGGACCACACACCUCUGCCAAUUUGUCUCACCACCCAUCCCAUUCUUUUCUACUCGCCGUUGGAUCCAACGAUCAUGCCCUUCCGAUAAUCCGCAAACUCACGCGCCUCCCAUGCCUCUGAUUAUGGACAGCCACCACAAAAAUUGUCAAAUCUGUCCAUUCGCAUGCUGCUGUCUGCCGACCCUUUGCAGCAACCCUUUAAUGGAACUGAAGGUGUCCAUAGCUGAUCAGGGGUUGAAGCGGGAGUCUUCGGCGCAUUCCAAACCAACUGAGUUGCCGAUGUAUUCCAAGAACCCGGUAAUUUCGCUUCCUAAUGUGCCUUCAAAUUAUAUAACUAACUCUGCUGCCUUUAGUGCUCAAUCCUUGACCCAUGAUAAUGAGAAGAAUAGUGGGAAACCAAUCCUCGUUUGUGAGCACUGCAAGAAACAAUAGCACACCAAGGAUCAGUGUUAGAAACUCCACGGCCGGUCUCUAAGAGAUAACAAAUGUUCCUCCAACGAGCAACAGAACUCAGGAUGUACCGAUGUUAGAGAUACUGUCAGCACCUCUCGGUCAACUAGCUCUACUAGCCGCUCUACUACUAGCCAAACCGGCCCUCUUACUCUAGGCGCCAUUGCUCAGUUAGGACUUGAGUUCGGGGAGGACGAUUGGCAUUGACUGACAUAGCAAGGGACUUUACAUCCUUAAUGAUGAUACCUCCGGUACUAGUAUCUCUAGGACUAGUUUACUGUCUUCCUAUUGUAGCAUCUCUGGACAUGACUUUAUGUUGUGGCAUUUUCGGUUGGGUCACCCGAACUUUACUUAUAUGAAAUAUUUAUUUCCCCAUCUUUUUCCUAAAA